RNAcentral lists this long non-coding RNA (227 nucleotides) under Olea europaea (common olive). RNAcentral's name for it is "long non-coding RNA (OEUR_LNC007205)". The record is from RNAcentral. Lineage: Eukaryota; Viridiplantae; Streptophyta; Magnoliopsida; Lamiales; Oleaceae.
GCGGCAGUUGUGGUAUGGCUUUGGUGAUGUUUGGGUGGUGUGGUUGUGAUGUUGGCAACGAUGGUGGAGAUGUUAGCAGUGGUGGUGAAUCUCAGCAAAUUUGGUGUUUAUGUGGUGGCGGUAGUCAGGGGUGAGAUGGGAUUGAAUACUUGUGACCAAUUAUUUAGUUGAUUUGAUUAAUAAUUGGAUAUGUGAGCUGAAAAUUGUGACUGUGACCCUUGAUUGUG